This 723-nucleotide ribosomal RNA is filed under the name Escherichia coli. RNAcentral describes it as "bacterial SSU rRNA". It matches the Rfam family "Bacterial small subunit ribosomal RNA", at positions 1 to 735 of the family's 1533-position model. The record is from RNAcentral. Lineage: Bacteria; Pseudomonadati; Pseudomonadota; Gammaproteobacteria; Enterobacterales; Enterobacteriaceae.
UUUUGUGGAGGGUUCGAUUCUGGCUCAGGAUGAACGCUGGCGGCGUGCUUAACACAUGCAAGUCGAACGGGAUCCAUCAAGCUUGCUUGGUGGUGAGAGUGGCGAACGGGUGAGUAAUGCGUGACCGACCUGCCCCAUACACCGGAAUAGCUCCUGGAAACGGGUGGUAAUGCCGGAUGCUCCAGUUGAUCGCAUGGUCUUCUGGGAAAGCUUUCGCGGUAUGGGAUGGGGUCGCGUCCUAUCAGCUUGACGGCGGGGUAACGGCCCACCGUGGCUUCGACGGGUAGCCGGCCUGAGAGGGCGACCGGCCACAUUGGGACUGAGAUACGGCCCAGACUCCUACGGGAGGCAGCAGUGGGGAAUAUUGCACAAUGGGCGCAAGCCUGAUGCAGCGACGCCGCGUGAGGGAUGGAGGCCUUCGGGUUGUAAACCUCUUUUAUCGGGGAGCAAGCGAGAGUGAGUUUACCCGUUGAAUAAGCACCGGCUAACUACGUGCCAGCAGCCGCGGUAAUACGUAGGGUGCAAGCGUUAUCCGGAAUUAUUGGGCGUAAAGGGCUCGUAGGCGGUUCGUCGCGUCCGGUGUGAAAGUCCAUCGCUUAACGGUGGAUCCGCGCCGGGUACGGGCGGGCUUGAGUGCGGUAGGGGAGACUGGAAUUCCCGGUGUAACGGUGGAAUGUGUAGAUAUCGGGAAGAACACCAAUGGCGAAGGCAGGUCUCUGGGCC